UCCUCGGUAGUAUAGUGGUAAGUAUACUCGCUUGUCACGCGAGUGACCCGGGUUCAAAUCCCGGCCGGGGAG
Molecule: transfer RNA, 72 nt
Organism: Intoshia linei
Lineage: Eukaryota; Metazoa; Orthonectida; Rhopaluridae
Rfam family: tRNA
About the family: Transfer RNA (tRNA) molecules are approximately 80 nucleotides in length. Their secondary structure includes four short double-helical elements and three loops (D, anti-codon, and T loops). Further hydrogen bonds mediate the characteristic L-shaped molecular structure. tRNAs have two regions of fundamental functional importance: the anti-codon, which is responsible for specific mRNA codon recognition, and the 3' end, to which the tRNAs corresponding amino acid is attached (by aminoacyl-tRNA synthetases). tRNAs cope with the degeneracy of the genetic code in two manners: having more than one tRNA (with a specific anti-codon) for a particular amino acid; and 'wobble' base-pairing, i.e. permitting non-standard base-pairing at the 3rd anti-codon position.
Source: Rfam